UACGUAGGACGCAAGCGUUAUCCGGAAUUACUGGGCGUAAAGAGCGUGUAGGCGGUUGUCCAAGUCACCCGUGAAAGCUCCCGGCUAAACUGGGAGAGGUCGGGUGAGACUGGGCGGCUAGAGGGUUGUAGAGGGAUGUGGAAUUCCGGGUGUAGUGGUGAAAUGCGUAGAGAUCCGGAGGAACACCAGAGGCGAAGGCGGCAUCCUGGACAACACCUGACGCUGAGACGCGAAAGCGCGGGGAGCAAACGGG
This 253-nucleotide ribosomal RNA is filed under the name uncultured prokaryote. RNAcentral's name for it is "partial 16S ribosomal RNA". It matches the Rfam family "Bacterial small subunit ribosomal RNA", at positions 524 to 776 of the family's 1533-position model. The record is from RNAcentral.